This 447-nucleotide ribosomal RNA is filed under the name uncultured Actinomycetales bacterium. RNAcentral describes it as "bacterial SSU rRNA". It matches the Rfam family "Bacterial small subunit ribosomal RNA", at positions 337 to 796 of the family's 1533-position model. The record is from RNAcentral. Lineage: Bacteria; Bacillati; Actinomycetota; Actinomycetes; Actinomycetales.
UCCUACGGGAGGCAGCAGUGGGGAAUAUUGCGCAAUGGGCGAAAGCCUGACGCAGCAACGCCGCGUGCGGGAUGACGGCCUUCGGGUUGUAAACCGCUUUCAGCAGGGAAGAAGCGAAAGUGACGGUACCUGCAGAAGAAGCACCGGCUAACUACGUGCCAGCAGCCGCGGUAAUACGUAGGGUGCAAGCGUUGUCCGGAUUUAUUGGGCGUAAAGAGCUCGUAGGCGGUCUGUCGCGUCGGAUGUGAAAACCCGGGGCUCAACUCCGGGCCUGCAUCAGAUACGGGCAGACUAGAGUGUGGUAGGGGAGACUGGAAUUCCUGGUGUAGCGGUGAAAUGCGCAGAUAUCAGGAGGAACACCGAUGGCGAAGGCAGGUCUCUGGGCCAUUACUGACGCUGAGGAGCGAAAGCGUGGGGAGCAAACAGGAUUAGAUACCCUGGUAGUCC